This 253-nucleotide ribosomal RNA is filed under the name uncultured bacterium. RNAcentral describes it as "partial 16S ribosomal RNA". It matches the Rfam family "Bacterial small subunit ribosomal RNA", at positions 524 to 776 of the family's 1533-position model. The record is from RNAcentral.
UACAGAGGUCUCAAGCGUUGUUCGGAUUCAUUGGGCGUAAAGGGUGCGUAGGCGGCGCGGUAAGUCGGGUGUGAAAUCUCGGAGCUUAACUCCGAAACUGCAUUCGAUACUGCCGUGCUUGAGGACUGGAGAGGAGACUGGAAUUUACGGUGUAGCGGUGAAAUGCGUAGAUAUCGUAAGGAAGACCAGUGGCGAAGGCGGGUCUCUGGACAGUUCCUGACGCUGAGGAACGAAGGUCAGGGGAGCAAACGGG